Molecule: transfer RNA, 74 nt
Filed under: Candidatus Liptonbacteria bacterium CG11_big_fil_rev_8_21_14_0_20_35_14
Lineage: Bacteria; Candidatus Liptoniibacteriota
Description: tRNA-Pro
Rfam family: tRNA
About the family: Transfer RNA (tRNA) molecules are approximately 80 nucleotides in length. Their secondary structure includes four short double-helical elements and three loops (D, anti-codon, and T loops).
Source: RNAcentral
CGGGCUGUCGUAUACCGGUAGUACAUAUGGUUUGGGACCAUACAGACUGGGUUCAAUUCCCAGCAGCCCGACCA